Molecule: long non-coding RNA, 2418 nt
Filed under: Homo sapiens (human)
Lineage: Eukaryota; Metazoa; Chordata; Mammalia; Primates; Hominidae
Description: HSALNT0083005
Source: RNAcentral
CCAGGCAGUGUGGUGGUCUGGGCAGGGUGAGUAGUCUAGGCAGUGUGGUGAUCCGGGCAGUGUGAGUGCUCCAGGCAGUGUGGUGGUCUGGGCAGGGUGAGUAGUCUAGGCAGUGUGGUGAUCCGGGCAGUGUGAGUGCUCCAGGCAGUGUGGUGGUCCGGGUAGGGUGGUAGUCUUAACAGGGUGAGUGGUCCGGGCAGUGUGGUGGUCCGGGUAGGGUGGUAGUCUUAACAGGGUGAGUGGUCCGGGCAGUGUGGUGGUCCGGGCAGUGUGGUGGUCCGGGCAGGGUGAGUGGUCCGGACAGUGUGGUGGUUCGGGCAGUGUGGUGGUCUGGGCAGUGUGGUGGUCCAGGCAGGGUGAGUGGUCCGGGCAGUGUGGUGGUCCGGGCAGUGUGGUGGUCUGCGUAGGGUGUUGGUCCCAGUAGGGUGGUGAGCCUGGCAGGGUGAGUGAUCUGAACAGUGUUUCGUCUGGGGCAGAGGUAAAGGUGCUGGCAGAGACAUCAAGCUCCGUCCAUUUUCCCGGCAGUGCUGUUGAGUGUGGCUGGAGGAUCCGAGGGUGUGGUCUGAGCGACCUCAGUGGGGCCUUGAUUGCUGGGUGUUGUCCAGAAACCCGCCGCUCCUCCCACUGGCCUUGACCUUGGCUGGGCUGGGGGUUGCUGGGCGGCAGGGGCAGGCAGCCACCUCUGCACACAGGGCCACCCUCGCCACUGCUCUCCCCAUUGGAUUCUGCAGAGCCGGGGACUUCACGGCCCUGACCGCUGCCCUGUAUCUCGGUGACGUGAUGUGCUCGUGUUGGUUUUUCCUGUCUUUUUUUAGACUUAAUCAGAAAUAAGGUAGAAGGUCAGAGUCCACAGCAAAGAGGCACAGAGGGGAACGGCAGCUCCUUGGGUCCCACGGGGCUGUGCCUGCUCCUUGGUGGGGACACUGGAGGCCCAGAGUGGCACAGACCCUGUCUUCACUGAGGGGAGAAAGAGGCAGCCCCGGGGCAUGAGAGCCACCCCUGCUGAUGCUGCCCCGGGCCCACAAGGGCCAAGCUCCAGGAACAUGGAAGUCCUGCCCUGGGCAGCACAGCCUCCAGAUUCCAAGAACCCAGCCUGGCACCCCAGGCUGGGCACAGCAAGGAGAGAGACUUCGACACUCUGCAUUAAGAUGACUUCGGCCUCUCUGAAGCUCCUCCAUUUCUGGCUGCUUUUCACUGCCGUCUGCCUGCCUGUGUUCUUGUCUUCACGCCGGCCUUUGGUACGGGAGGGAGCCAUCCACGGCCCACACUGCAGCUCCCGUGACCUCCGCACGGCCCCGUGCGGACACUCAUCUGGAUUUUGUUUGUGCUCAGGAGAGGCUCUGCAUUGAACGACCUUGCACUGGGCCGGUUUCUUUUCUAAAGGACUGCAGUGUGAGAAGGCAGCACCGCCCCGGCGCCCGCGAGGAAGCCGAACUGCUCAUAAGUUAAGCAGCCCCAGCCAGGUCACGGGGCAAGGAAGCCGCCUGCGACCUCGGAAACCCCUGGUUCAUCCCAUGACCCACCCCCGUUCAUCCGGUGACCCACCCCUCACCCCGGUUCAUCCCGUGACCCACCCCCCCGUUCAUCCCAUGACCCAGCCCCCCACCCCGGUUCAUCCCAUGACCCAGCCCCCCACCCCGGUUCAUCCCAUGACCCACCCCCCACCCCGGUUCAUCCCGUGACCCACCCCCCGUUCAUCCCAUGACCCAGCCCCCCACCCCGGUUUAUCCCGUGACCCACCCCCUGUUCAUCCCGUGACCCACCCCCCGUUCAUCCCGUGACCCAGCCCCCAACCCCGUUCAUCCCGUGACCCACCCCCAACCCCGGUUUAGCCCGUGACCCACCCCCCCCCCGUUCAUCCCGUGACCCACCCCCCGGUUCAUCCCGUGACCCAGCCCCCAACCCCGUUCAUCCCGUGACCCAGACCCCACCCUGGUUUAUCCCAUGACCCACCCACGGUUCAUCCUGUGACCCGCCCCCCGUUCAUCCCGUGACCCACCCCCCACCCCUGGUUUAUCCCGUGACCCACCCCCGGGUCAUCCUGUGACCCAGACCCCACCCUGGUUUAUCCCAUGACCCGCCCACGGUUCAUCCUGUGACCCGCCCCCCGUUCAUCCCGUGACCCAGCCCCCCACCCCUGGUUUAUCCCGUGACCCACCCCCGGGUCAUCCUGUGACCCAGACCCCACCCCUGGUUUAUCCCGUGACCCACCCUCGGGUCAUCCCGUGACCCAGACCCCACGCCUGGUUUAUCCCGUGACCCACCCGCAGCACCAGCACCUCAGUGCUGCUUUUGUAUUUAUAGUCGCCUUGCUGUAUGUUGAGCGUAAUUUUACAAUCUGCCCAAAAUUCCUUUGAAGAGCAGAUAGGUGUGUACACCCUAAAUGAAUAAAAUACAGUGCGAUUUGGUGAAAGGUAA